RNAcentral lists this signal recognition particle RNA (299 nucleotides) under Microcebus murinus (gray mouse lemur). Its description in RNAcentral is "Metazoan signal recognition particle RNA (ENSMICG00000045456.1)". It matches the Rfam family "Metazoan signal recognition particle RNA". Rfam says of the family: The signal recognition particle (SRP) is a universally conserved ribonucleoprotein. It is involved in the co-translational targeting of proteins to membranes. The eukaryotic SRP consists of a 300-nucleotide 7S RNA and six proteins: SRPs 72, 68, 54, 19, 14, and 9. The record is from RNAcentral. Lineage: Eukaryota; Metazoa; Chordata; Mammalia; Primates; Cheirogaleidae.
GCUGGGCACAAUGGUACACAUCUGUAGUUCCAGCUACUCAGGAGGCUGAGGCAGGAGGAUCAUUUGAGUCCAGGAGUUCUGUGCUACAGUGUGCUAUGCCCAUCAAGUGUCUGCAUUAAGUUUGACAUUAAUAUGGUGACCUCCUGGGAGUGGGGGACCACCAGGUUGCCUAAGGAGGGGUGAACCAGCCCAUGUUAGAAACAGAGCAGGUCAAAACUUCUGUGUUUAUCAGUAGUGAGAUCAUGUCUGUGAGUAGCCACUGCACUCCAGCCCGGGCAACACAGAGAAACCCUGUCUCU